RNAcentral lists this ribosomal RNA (253 nucleotides) under uncultured bacterium. RNAcentral describes it as "partial 16S ribosomal RNA". It matches the Rfam family "Bacterial small subunit ribosomal RNA", at positions 524 to 776 of the family's 1533-position model. The record is from RNAcentral.
UACGUAGGGUGCGAGCGUUAAUCGGAAUUACUGGGCGUAAAGCGUGCGCAGGCGGUUUUGUAAGCCAGGUGUGAAAUCCCCGAGCUCAACCUGGGAAUGGCAUUUGGGACUGCAAGGCUGGAGUGUGGCAGAGGAGACUGGAAUUCCUGGUGUAGCAGUGAAAUGCGUAGAUAUCAGGAGGAAUACCGAUGGCGAAGGCAGGUCUCUGGGCUGACACUGACGCUCAUGCACGAAAGCGUGGGGAGCAAACAGG